This 254-nucleotide ribosomal RNA is filed under the name uncultured bacterium. RNAcentral describes it as "partial 16S ribosomal RNA". It matches the Rfam family "Bacterial small subunit ribosomal RNA", at positions 524 to 776 of the family's 1533-position model. The record is from RNAcentral.
UACGUAGGGUGCAAGCGUUGUCCGGAAUUAUUGGGCGUAAAGCGCGCGCAGGCGGUGUGUCACGUCGGCCGUGAAAACCUGGGGCUCAACUCUGGGCGUGCGGUCGAUACGGGCAUCACUAGAGUUCGGCAGGGGAGACUGGAAUUCCUGGUGUAGCGGUGAAAUGCGCAGAUAUCAGGAGGAACACCGGUGGCGAAGGCGGGUCUCUGGGCAUUAACUGACGCUGAGGAGCGAAAGCAUGGGGAGCGAACAGG